GUUUGUUUUAAGGUAUGUUUUAACUUAGUACAAAAGAAGAUCAUCUGAGGAGUAAGGUGCCUGAUGGGGAAGAAGAGAUGCUUGUGUCCAGUUUCCAUGAUCCUGCUGACACUGGAGAUACCUGCUGUACAGGCUUUUUUACCUCACCUUGUUUGGUAUGUCCAAGCUCCCCAUUCCAUGACAGAGCCAAGCAGCUUCAGCCAGGCAUGAGGACCUUCGUACAUGAAAAGCAGUGAAGAGCCAUAUCCCUAAAGCAUGCAACUCUUGUAUAUGACAAAAGAUAAUGGGUGGAUACCAAGAAUUGAAGGUAACAGAAAGAAAGAGAGGACAUAUUUCCACAGCUUGGCAAAAGCAGUCUCCAAAGUCCUCAAACAGCUGUGGAAAAAUAGUGAAAGGAGAGCAAAUAGCCUGUUUGUCCUCUAUCUCAUGGACACAGUGCCUUGUGAGCCCUGGAGGGUAUCUGCUCAUAUCCAAGCUGUGAAAGCAGUUGCUGUGCCUGCCACAUCACAGCUUCAUAGACACACCAAUGCUUGCAGUACAGUCAAAAUAUGCUUUAAAGCCCAUUUCAG
Molecule: long non-coding RNA, 569 nt
Filed under: Gallus gallus (chicken)
Lineage: Eukaryota; Metazoa; Chordata; Aves; Galliformes; Phasianidae
Description: long non-coding RNA NONGGAT008090
Source: RNAcentral